This 496-nucleotide ribosomal RNA is filed under the name Lactobacillus sp. oral taxon 461. RNAcentral describes it as "bacterial SSU rRNA". It matches the Rfam family "Bacterial small subunit ribosomal RNA", at positions 28 to 492 of the family's 1533-position model. Lineage: Bacteria; Bacillati; Bacillota; Bacilli; Lactobacillales; Lactobacillaceae. The record is from RNAcentral.
GACGAACGCUGGCGGCGUGCCUAAUACAUGCAAGUCGAGCGAGCGGAACCAGCAGAUCUGCUUCGGCAGUGACGCUGGGAAAGCGAGCGGCGGAUGGGUGAGUAACACGUGGGGAACCUGCCCCAAAGUCUGGGAUACCACUUGGAAACAGGUGCUAAUACCGGAUAAGAAAGCAGAUCGCAUGAUCAGCUUUUAAAAGGCGGCGUAAGCUGUCGCUAUGGGAUGGCCCCGCGGUGCAUUAGCUAGUUGGUAGAGUAACGGCCUACCAAGGCAAUGAUGCAUAGCCGAGUUGAGAGACUGAUCGGCCACAUUGGGACUGAGACACGGCCCAAACUCCUACGGGAGGCAGCAGUAGGGAAUCUUCCACAAUGGACGCAAGUCUGAUGGAGCAACGCCGCGUGAGUGAAGAAGGUUUUCGGAUCGUAAAGCUCUGUUGUUGGUGAAGAAGGAUAGAGGUAGUAACUGGCCUUUAUUUGACGUAAUCAACCAGAAAGUC